UCCUACGGGGGGCAGCAGUGGGGAAUCUUGCGCAAUGGGCGAAAGCCUGACGCAGCCAUGCCGCGUGAAUGAUGAAGGUCUUAGGAUUGUAAAAUUCUUUCACCGGGGAAGAUAAUGACGGUACCCGGAGAAGAAGCCCCGGCUAACUUCGUGCCAGCAGCCGCGGUAAUACGAAGGGGGCUAGCGUUGCUCGGAAUUACUGGGCGUAAAGGGCGCGUAGGCGGAUGUUUAAGUCGGGGGUGAAAGCCCGGGGCUCAACCUCGGAAUUGCCUUCGAUACUGGACAUCUUGAGUGCGGGAGAGGUGAGUGGAACUCCGAGUGUAGAGGUGAAAUUCGUAGAUAUUCGGAAGAACACCAGUGGCGAAGGCGACUCACUGGCCCGUUACUGACGCUGAGGCGCGAAAGCGUGGGGAGCAAACAGGAUUAGAUACCCCGGUAC
This 439-nucleotide ribosomal RNA is filed under the name uncultured bacterium. RNAcentral's name for it is "bacterial SSU rRNA". It matches the Rfam family "Bacterial small subunit ribosomal RNA", at positions 337 to 793 of the family's 1533-position model. The record is from RNAcentral.